RNAcentral lists this ribosomal RNA (554 nucleotides) under Cutibacterium acnes. RNAcentral's name for it is "bacterial SSU rRNA". It matches the Rfam family "Bacterial small subunit ribosomal RNA", at positions 71 to 639 of the family's 1533-position model. Lineage: Bacteria; Bacillati; Actinomycetota; Actinomycetes; Propionibacteriales; Propionibacteriaceae. The record is from RNAcentral.
GGCCCUGCUUUUGUGGGGUGCUCGAGUGGCGAACGGGUGAGUAACACGUGAGUAACCUGCCCUUGACUUUGGGAUAACUUCAGGAAACUGGGGCUAAUACCGGAUAGGAGCUCCUGCUGCAUGGUGGGGGUUGGAAAGUUUCGGCGGUUGGGGAUGGACUCGCGGCUUAUCAGCUUGUUGGUGGGGUAGUGGCUUACCAAGGCUUUGACGGGUAGCCGGCCUGAGAGGGUGACCGGCCACAUUGGGACUGAGAUACGGCCCAGACUCCUACGGGAGGCAGCAGUGGGGAAUAUUGCACAAUGGGCGGAAGCCUGAUGCAGCAACGCCGCGUGCGGGAUGACGGCCUUCGGGUUGUAAACCGCUUUCGCCUGUGACGAAGCGUGAGUGACGGUAAUGGGUAAAGAAGCACCGGCUAACUACGUGCCAGCAGCCGCGGUGAUACGUAGGGUGCGAGCGUUGUCCGGAUUUAUUGGGCGUAAAGGGCUCGUAGUGGUUGAUCGCGUCGGAAGUGUAAUCUUGGGGCUUAACCCUGAGCGUGCUUUCGAUACGGGUUG